Molecule: transfer RNA, 63 nt
Filed under: Andrena subopaca
Lineage: Eukaryota; Metazoa; Arthropoda; Insecta; Hymenoptera; Andrenidae
Description: tRNA-His
Source: RNAcentral
AUUUAAAUAGUUUAAUUAAAACUCUGAUUUGUGGGGUCGGUGAUGUAUGUGAUACUUUAAAUA